RNAcentral lists this ribosomal RNA (489 nucleotides) under uncultured bacterium. RNAcentral describes it as "bacterial SSU rRNA". It matches the Rfam family "Bacterial small subunit ribosomal RNA", at positions 29 to 516 of the family's 1533-position model. The record is from RNAcentral.
AAUGAACGCUGGCGGCGUGCUUUACACAUGCAAGUCGAGCGAGGCGGGUAGCAAUACCCAGUCGAGCGGCGAACGGGUGAGUAACGCGUGGAUAACCUGCCCAGAGGUGGGGGAUAACCCGGGGAAACUCGGGCUAAUACCGCAUAUGACCGUGAGGUCAAAGGGGGCUCGCAAGAGCUCUCGCCAUUGGAGGGGUCCGCGUACGAUUAGCUAGUUGGUAGGGUAAUGGCCUACCAAGGCGACGAUCGUUAGCCGGCCUGAGAGGGUGAUCGGCCACACUGGAACUGAGACACGGUCCAGACUCCUACGGGAGGCAGCAGUGGGGAAUUUUGCGCAAUGGGCUAACGCCUGACGCAGCAACGCCGCGUGGAGGAUGAAGGUCUUUGGAUUGUAAACUCCUGUCAGCAGGGAAAAAGCGACCUGACCUCAUACGUCAGGGAGUUGAUUGUACCUGCAGAGGAAGCCCCGGCUAACUCUGUGCCAGCAGCC